This 253-nucleotide ribosomal RNA is filed under the name uncultured bacterium. Its description in RNAcentral is "partial 16S ribosomal RNA". It matches the Rfam family "Bacterial small subunit ribosomal RNA", at positions 524 to 776 of the family's 1533-position model. The record is from RNAcentral.
UACGUAGGGUGCAAGCGUUGUCCGGAAUCACUGGGCUUAAAGGGCGCGUAGGCGGGCUCGCCAGUCAGGGGUGAAAGCCCACGGCUUAACCGUGGAAGUGCCUCUGAUACUGCGGGUCUCGAGGGAGGUAGGGGCGUGCGGAACUUCCGGUGGAGCGGUGAAAUGCGUAGAGAUCGGCAGGAACACCCAGGGGGAAACCAGCCGACUGGGCAUCAACUGACGCUGAGGUGCGAGAGCGUGGGGAGCGAACCGG